Molecule: ribosomal RNA, 725 nt
Filed under: uncultured bacterium
Lineage: Bacteria
Description: bacterial SSU rRNA
Rfam family: Bacterial small subunit ribosomal RNA
Source: RNAcentral
AACAGGAUUAGAUACCCUGGUAGUCCACGCCCUAAACGAUGUCUACUAGUUGUCGGGACUUAAUUGUCUUGGUAACGCAGCUAACGCGUGAAGUAGACCGCCUGGGGAGUACGGUCGCAAGAUUAAAACUCAAAGGAAUUGACGGGGACCCGCACAAGCGGUGGAUGAUGUGGAUUAAUUCGAUGCAACGCGAAAAACCUUACCUACCCUUGACAUGGCAGGAAUCCUGAAGAGAUUUAGGAGUGCUCGCAAGAGAACCUGCACACAGGUGCUGCAUGGCUGUCGUCAGCUCGUGUCGUGAGAUGUUGGGUUAAGUCCCGCAACGAGCGCAACCCUUGUCAUUAGUUGCUACGAAAGGGCACUCUAAUGAGACUGCCGGUGACAAACCGGAGGAAGGUGGGGAUGACGUCAAGUCCUCAUGGCCCUUAUGGGUAGGGCUUCACACGUCAUACAAUGGUACAUACAGAGGGCUGCCAACCCGCGAGGGGGAGCUAAUCCCAGAAAGUGUAUCGUAGUCCGGAUUGUAGUCUGCAACUCGACUACAUGAAGUUGGAAUCGCUAGUAAUCGCGGAUCAGCAUGUCGCGGUGAAUACGUUCCCGGGUCUUGUACACACCGCCCGUCACACCAUGGGAGCGGGUUCUGCCAGAAGUAGGUAGCUUAACCGUAAGGAGGGCGCUUACCACGGCAGGGUUCGUGACUGGGGUGAAGUCGUAACAAGGUAACC